This 423-nucleotide ribosomal RNA is filed under the name uncultured bacterium. Its description in RNAcentral is "bacterial SSU rRNA". It matches the Rfam family "Bacterial small subunit ribosomal RNA", at positions 31 to 499 of the family's 1533-position model. The record is from RNAcentral.
GUACGCUGGCGGCACGCCUAACACAUGCAAGUCGAACGGAGUAGCAAUACUCAGUGGCAGACGGGUGAGUAACAUGUAGGUAUCUGCCCUUUGGCCUGGAAUAACACGAGGAAACUUGUGCUAAUACCGGAUAAGUCUUUACGGAGAAAGCUUUAUGCACCAUUGGAUGAGCCUGCACUUGAUUAGUUUGUUGGUGGGGUAAUGGCCUACCAAGACUUUGAUCAAUAGCUGAUUUGAGAGGAUGAUCAGCCACAUUGGGACUGAGACACGGCCCAAACUCCUACGGGAGGCAGCAGUGGGGAAUCUUGCACAAUGGAGGAAACUCUGAUGCAGCGAUGCCGCGUGAGUGAAGAAGGCCCUUGGGUUGUAAAGCUCUUUCGUCGGGGAAGAAAAUGACUGUACCCGAAUAAGAAGGUCCGGCUA